AGACAGGGUUUCACUGUGUUAGCCAGGAUGGUUUCGAUCUCCUGGCCUCGUGAUCCGCCCGCCUCAGCCUCCCAAAGUGCUGGGAUUACAGGUGUGAGCCACCGCGCCCGGCCUGAAAUGUGCAUUUUUGUUGCAUGGGCCUAAUUUAAAACUGGCCCAAGGGGACAUUUUGUACAAUCGCCGAGAAAUUUGCAAUCUCAGAUUGAGACUUAAAAUUAUUAAAUUCAGCUUUGACUGAAUUUUUGAUGCAAAAAAAAAUCACGAAACCUUAAAUACUGAACCACCAAAGAAGGGUGAUAGACAAUUAACUCUGGCUGUUAGCCUGUGUUACUGUCAUUACAACACUUAAAAACUGUGCUAGGGUAAAUUAAACCUUUUGGGUUUCAGUAAUUAAGAUACCCUGAGAGGAACACAACCUCAUAGAUCUUGGUUUCUUGUGUUGUGUAGUUAAGUGGCCUUACAGGCUGGCUUGUGAUGAUGUCAGAGAAUGGGAUGUGGAGCUUAACUGUUCUUAGCAUUUUGCUAGGCCCUAUGAGGUAGAGGAGGCAUUUUUCCCAAUAUAGAGUCAUGUAGCUUAUAUGUGGUGUGGAAAUAAAUGAAGACCAACCAAAUAAGAACAGGCAAAAGCGAUUUCAUCAGAGCUUGCUAUAGCAAAGGAGUCAGACAUCAUCACAUGUUUUGGCAGAGACUCAAAGUCAGGCAAAGGAGUGGGAAAGCUUUAUGGUGGAAAAAAGGGAAGACUUCAGGUGUGACUCAAUUAGAACCCAUGAGUGGUCUAAUCAGAAGUGGGACAUCCUAUAUGGAUAUUUGGCUUUCUUUCAUUGGUCCUAAAUUGGAAGCAAGGACAAAAAUUACGUAAGCUAUCUGUUAUUAUUCAAGUCCUGGCUGUUUGGGGCUGAUUGUUACAGGGUUGUUGUUUGGCUUCCUGGACUGGUUGCUAAAGAUAGGGGUCUGAUUUCCUUCAAGUCUGACUUAUAGAUAGUAGGCUAGUUACUGUAGAUAAUGGGUUGGUUUCUUGGGCUGGUGGCUGCAGAUUAUGUAUCAGAGUCCUAUUUUUAUAUACGGUCUUGCUAUUGUCCAUUUGCAUAUUCAGUCUCUCUGUGUUAAAACUGCUUGAAUCUGGGGCUUUUUUAAAAAUAAUAGAGGUGGGGUCUUGCUAUGUUGGCCAGAGUGGUCGCAAACUCCUGGCCUCAACAGUCCUCUUGACUCAGCCUCCCAAAAUGCUAGUGUGAGCCACCAUGCCUGGCCUGAAUCCAGGGCUUUUUUAUUCCACAGCUAUGUUCUUUCCACUAUUGAAUGCUAUCAGAUAAUAUCAAGGAAUUAAAUAAAAUAUAAUCAGCUUCUCCCUUUUCUCCUUCAAACACAUCAGCCAACAGCUUUUUUCUUUUCUUUUCCUUUCUUUUUUUUUUUUUUUUUUUGAGAUGGAGUCUUGCUCUGUUGCCCAGGCUGGAGUGCAGUGGCACGAUCUCUGCUCACUGCAACCUCCGCCUCCCGGAUUCAAGCAAUUCUUCUGCCUCAGCCUCCCUAGUAGCUGGGAUUACAGGUGUUCACCACUAUGCCCACCUAAUUUUUGUAUUUUAAGUAGAGACAGGGUUUCACCAUGUUGGCCCAGCUGGUCUCAAACUCUUGACCUCAAGUCAUCCACCUGCUUUGGCCUCCCAAAUUGGUUGGAUUACAGGCAUGAGCCACCAAGCCCAGCCAAGAAAUCAUUUCUAAUUUAGGCACAAUAGGAGGUUGAAUCACAUCUGAUGUAAGGCUUGUGGACUACAGGCAUUUAACUGCUGAGUGAGCUUAGUUACACGUGCAGUAUCCUCCUUUUCGUACAUUUCUGAUGUUCUCUUUUUGCCAUAAAGUAUACAAUUUAGUAGUAUUAAGUACAUUCACAUUGCUAUGCAGCCAUAACCACUAUCCAUUUCCAGAACAUUUUCCUCAUCCCAAACAAGAACUUUGUAUUCAUUACAUGAUAACUCCUCAUUCCCUCCUUUCUCUACCCUUGGCAAACACCAUUCUACUUCUGUCUGACUACUCAUACAGUAUUUGUUCUUUUUGUCUGGCUUAUUUCACUUAGCAUAAUGUUUUCAAGUUUCGUCCAUUUAGUAGCAUGUAUCAGAAUUUCGUUACUUUUUAAGGCUGAACAAGUACUCCAUUGUAUGUAUAUAUUACAUUUUGUUUACCUAUUUAUCUGUUGUUGCAUAUUUGAGUUCUUAAAGUUAAUUACACUAAGUAUUAUAGUUAAGAAGCACCAGUUUUUCUUCUAAUACUAUAUUUGGAAAAAUGGGGAGACAAAAAUAGUACAAGAUAGAGAUGCUCAAUCUGUAGCUUGUGGCGAAAAGAUUCACAAAUAUACAGUAAGUAAUCAGAGAUGGAGGUAACCUAUCAACCAGAAUGUGACAAUGUAAGGAACUUUGGAAUAGGCAGAAAAGAGGACUUGGUGUCUCUAAUAAAAAGCUAUGCAUUUUUAGUGCACACUCUUACAGGUAAUCUAAAUAUAACUCUAUCACUCUAUCAUUGCCUUUGAGCUACUUUACAACUCUGUAAGUUGUAGAUAACUGAUAUUAAUGCAAAAUAAUUCUUGUAUAAACAUGAAAAUAAAUUAUAUUCUGUGAAAAAAAAGUUUGGCUAUUGUGAAUAAUGCUGCUAUGAACAUGGGUGUACAAAUAUCUGUUAGAAUCCGUACUUUUGAUUAUUUGUAUAUAUACCUGGGAGAGGAAUUACUGGACCAUAUGUUAAUUUUUUUUUUCUUACCAUGAGUUUGACUUUUUUUUUUUGAAACCGAGUCUGGCUCUCUUGCCCAGGCUGGAGUGCAAUGGUGCGAUCUCGGCUCACUGCAACCUCUGCCUCCCGGGUUCAAGCGAUUCUCCUGCCUCAGCCUCCCGAGUAGUUGGGACUACAGGCGCGCACUACCACGCCCAGCUAAUUUUUUGUUUUUUUAGUAGAGACAGGGUUUCACCAUUUUGGCCAGGAUGGUUUCGAUCUCUUGACCUUGUGAUCCGCCCGCCUUGGCGUCCCAAAGUGCUGGGAUUACAGGCGUGAGACAUCGCGCCCGGCCACCUAGCUAAUUUUAAAAUCAUUUUUUGGCCAGGCGCGUUGGCCCCCCUCGCCAAUCCCAGCACUUUGGGAGGCUGAGGCAGGUGGAUCAUGAGGUAAGGAGUUUGAGACCAACUUGGCCAACAUGGUGAAACCCAGUCUCUACUAAAAAUGCAAAAAUCUCACUAUGUUGCCCAAGCUGGUCUCGAACUCCUGAGCUCAGGCAAUCUGCUGCUUCAGCCUCCUGAAGUGCUAGGAUUACAGGCAUGAGCCACCGCGCCCAGCGGAUGAUGUUUUUGAUGUCGUAUCUAAGAACUCUUUGCCCAACUCAAAGUCACAAGAUAUUUUCUCCCAUGUUUUCUUAUAGAAGUGGUUUUGUUUUGUUUUGUUUGUUUGUUCAUUUGAGACAGAGUGUCACCUUGUCGCCCAGGCUAGAGUGUAGUGGUGCGAUCUCGGCUCACUGCAACCUCCGCCUCCUGGGUUCAAGCAAUUCUUCGCCUCAGCCUCCCGAGUAGCUGGGAUUACAGGCACCCGCCACCAUGCCCGGCUAAUUAUUGUAUUUUUAGUAGAGAUGGGGUUUCACCAUGUUGGCCAGGCUGGUCUUGAACCCCUGACCUCAAGUGAUCCGCCCACCUCAGCCUCCCAAAGUGCUGGGAUUACAGGCAUGAGCCACUGCACCCAGCCGAUUUAGCACCUUAAUCAAAAAUCAACUGACCAGCACUCACAUUCCUGAUUUCAAAAUUUAUUACUCCAGUCUGGGUAACCUAGUGAGACCUCACCUCUACAAAAAUAAAAAGAUAAAUUAGCCAAGUGUGAUGGCAAGUGGCUGUAAUCCUAGCUAUUCAGGAGGCUGUGACAGUAGGAUCGCUGAGCCCAGGAGAUCAAGACUGCAGGGAGCUAUGAUCAGUCGUGCCACUGUAUUCCAGCCUGGGUGAUAGAGCAAGGCCCUGUCUCUAAAAAAACAAAAACAAACAAACAAAACUACUGAUAAUCUACAGGUCACAUUUGGCAGGCUUCCAAAUUAACCUGCCUAGAAAAGGUCUUAGGAUUCUUGGCUUACAUUCUGUCCCUUAAUAAAAAAUCUUGGCAUGCCUGUAAUCCCAGCACUCUGAGAGGCUGAGGCAGGCAGAUCACUUAAGCCCAGGAGUUUAAGACCAGCCUGGGCAACACGGUGAAACCCCAUCUCUACACAAAAUUCAAAAAUUUUGUGGUUGUGGUGGUGCCAUCUGUAGUCCCAGCUACUUGGUAGGCUGAAGUGGGAGGAUUGCUUGAGCCGGGGGAGUUCAAGGCUGCAGUGAGCCACUGCACUCCUCCAGCCUGGGGCAUAACAGAGCGAGACCCCGUCUCAAAAAGACAAAACAAAACAGGCAGGGCACGGUGGCUCACGCCUGAUCUUGCGGUGAGCUGAGAUCGCGCCACUGCACUCCAGCCUGGGCGACAGACUGAGACUCCAUUUCAAAAAAAAAAAAAAAGAAAAAAUUACCUUUUUUUUUUUUUUUGAGGCAGAGUUUUGCUCU
This 4544-nucleotide long non-coding RNA is filed under the name Homo sapiens (human). RNAcentral describes it as "non-protein coding lnc-KLHL18-6:1". Lineage: Eukaryota; Metazoa; Chordata; Mammalia; Primates; Hominidae. The record is from RNAcentral.